Molecule: long non-coding RNA, 3897 nt
Organism: Carya illinoinensis
Lineage: Eukaryota; Viridiplantae; Streptophyta; Magnoliopsida; Fagales; Juglandaceae
Exons: 5
Source: RefSeq, a predicted model, not a curated record
UAUAUAUUUAUUUAUUUAGAUUAAUUCCGUUUUCUAGGAGUUUAUUGUCUGCUAUGAACUUUUCUUUGUAAAUGGAAUUGAUAGAAAAUAUAAUAUAAUAGAAAAAAAAUGGAGAAGAUAAAAGGAGAGAGAUAUUGUGAGAGCUACAUAUUUGUUAUUCUCAAUUGCCUUGUAAUGCGUGAGAACUUUGAAAUCUUGAGUUUGAAAUUUAAGUGUAGCCUUCAUAUUCGUUGAUUGAUUGCCAAUGAGAUGAUGAAAGUGGCAUUGGUGAUGAAGUGACUACUAGUUGGAACAUAAAAUGUGGAUGGAUUUGUGGCCAAUAAUGGGUUGUUAAUGGGUCAAAGCUAACAAAAGGCCAAAAGAUUAAUCCGAUAAUGGGCUACAUAUGGCCUUGGUCAACUAUGUGACCAAAAUCGAAAUGCCAAAAAUGGGUCUGGGGCUACAAAUAAUGCUCACAACAGACCAAGACCCAAUAAAAAAGGGCUCACAACUAAUUAAAAUACUCCAAAUGCAUUGAUUUGAAAUGAAGUAUGGUAGAACGACAAUGAAAAUUUUUGUGAGAGGUAAAGCUAGUAGAAAAACUUUAAAAGAAAUAGUCCACAGGAUCGAGCCUAACCUUAGCCAAGGGCUCUGACACCAGGAAGGAAAAUAAUAUAAAAUAAAAAGGGAGAUGGAGACGAGAAAGAGGGACAAAGACUUUAAGGGCUGAAUACAAAUCAUUGGUCCCUAUUUAUAAGAAAAUUACAUGGAGAUGAAACAAGGUAAAUAUUUUUGAAAAUCAAAUCUCUUAAUUUGAUAAUUAUGUAAUCAAGUAAGUAUAUUAAUCAAAUCAAACUUUUGAUUUGAUAUUGUCUUCAACAGGAAUGGGCUUUUUUUAUGGGAUCAUAUUUUAUUUGUUACCCAAUUGUUUCAAUUUAAGAUCGAUCAUCUUAAUCACCCCCCCCCCCCCCCACAAAAGAAAAAAUGCAACAAGUAAAUGGCUUAUUACAUUACAGAAUUAAUUUGUUAAUCUAUAGAACUUGUGAGAUUUAGAAUAAUAUCAGCACAGAGUUUAAUGUGCGCAGAUUUCUUUUAUUUUAUUCCCUAACUUGUAAGCCUUGGCCAGAAGGAGUUCAAGUGUGCUUGUGGGUUGUCAUACUUACUUAUUACUCGAAUUUUUAAAAAUUUGUGUUUGCUUCUUUCAGUUUUCUAUAAAUAAGAUUAAGAAGAAAUGGAUUUAUAGAAAGAGGGGGAAAGGAAAAGGAUAAAAGGCAGCUGGUAUGGUAAAUUACUAAAUAUUUAAAAUACGUGCAAAGAGAUGUAAUGCAUGAAAAAUCCAGAGCGAAAGUGUGAACCACAGGAGGAAGGAAAAGUCUCCAGCAAUGGAAGUGGGAACAAUAUUGAAGCCACAUAGAAUGAGAUGGAUGAGGAAAAAUAGAAACAUAACAAGCAAUGGUAUCCUUUUAAAUGAGCUCUUUUGUAAUCCAACACAGCAUUUUUCCUGGUUCUCCCUACCUUUUUGGGUAUCUACUGUUCAUACAAAUUUCUAUGAAACGAACAAGGUCGUGUGGCAUAUCGCUAUGUCGUUUUUGAACCUAGUAUUGUGUCUAAAUGUCUGCACGUGACGUUGCAGCUGGAAGAUAAUGUGUGGGAUGACUUUGGUGAGAGCGACAAUCAUACAGUGCCUCAUCCUGGUGAUGAAUGUGGGGAAGAAUUUGCAGUACUGGGUGAUAGCUAUAAGAAACCACAUGUAGCAAUUGAUGUUACAAGUACUGCUGCUAAUGCAACUAAAUAUAAAAUUUGAGGAAAGGAGGAAACAGUUUCACCAAUAUUGACCAAGAAAACACACAAUGUUGGAAAAGGGUGCAUGGUCUCAAACACCUGAUUACAUGUUUCCUUCUUCAUGUGAUAGUGACUCGCUUAAAGCAGUGACAAGAAUAGAAUCUGAUGAUACUAGGAUGUCCAGCCAUUGUUUCAAAAGUGGGAAGAUAAAUUAUUCAGGUGGCAGGGAGUUUUGUGCUGAUGAUCCUAUCUUGGAUGACAGGUGUGCUGCAGUUGAUAUAACUUGACCGAUAUCCAUUAAGCAACAUAUCCCAAGCAGAUAAUGAUCUCAGCUUUUUGGAUGAUCAUCAUGAAGACAGAGAAUGUAGUGAUCCCUUAUCCUAUUUGUGGCCAAAUAUAGAAAAUUUUGAGUAUGUUGACAGGAUGUUUAGGUGGUCUUCAAAAUUCUUCCCUGUUAUUGUUGAUAUUUUCUUAAUGUUAUCCCUUUGUAUAUGCUACUUCCAGUUCUCUUAGUAAUGAAGACUAGUUGUGCUGGUUCUCAUCUUCACAUGCUACUGAAGUAUCCAAAUAUGCAUUAAGGUCUGGCAGCAAGUUUGUAGGUCACAUGGCAAGUCCAUUGAAAAUUUCAGAAUGUGAUUAAGUUUCCCAGCCUAAAAGUGCAGGUCUUCCAAUCAAUGAUUCCAACAGGGAAAGUGUUUCCAUAAUUGAUCAAAACGAAAUCUCAGACUUCCCAUAAUGAAAAAAAAAAAAAACUUGACAUCUUUCGUCUCCUGUCGUCCGUGAAAGCAUCAGAUAUGAACACUGAGAGUAGGGAUAACUUAAUGCCCAAAGAGCAGAUCAAUGUGCAUUUAAAGCAGUCCAAGAACCAGAAACAAAGAGAAAGGAAAGAAAAGAUUGAUAUCUGGGAAAUGUUGUUUCUUUUCACUAUUAUAGUAAACAUCAUGAUCUGGAGCACUGCUAUUGGAGAUUUACUGCCUUUUUCUCCUCCAGGAAUUCAUCAACAUAACCAAGACGUAGGACUGGAUAACUUGUGUUUUAUGCAGACACAGAUAACCUGUAUGCACCUGGGAUGUAGUCGUCCUUUGGAUCAAAUUUCAUUUUGUCCAGCUCUAUCGGGCACCAAAUCUGAGAUCAAUGGCCACACAUCUUCUUCUAAGGAGUCUUCCUAUGCAUCAAAUCCAGUUCAGUACAUCGAGAGCUUGCAUGGUUCUCCAUUCGAGGUUCUGGAAGAAACAAUCAAUGAGAGGAGAGAAAAGCUAUCUCCUAUUACUGGGAAGUUUAAAGAUGUUGAUAUGUCUCCUCUGGUGGAAUUUUGUCAUCCAGUUUCAGCUCUGGAGCAAGUACAGCACUCUGAAAAUGAGGUUGAAGCUCAUAAUGAAGUCAAAGGAGUUAGUGCAGGUAUUCCAACUGACUUAGAUUCUUCAAACCUACACGAGAGCUCUUGCAUGAGCUAUGUGGUGGAUGAAAUCUCACAAGAAGCAACUAAUUUUUGCCAGCUUUAACAAGUGAUGGAACAGCGUUCAAUAUUUUUCAAAUUAACCGAUCUGAAGCUGCUUAAAUUCAGUUGGAUAUCAGAACUAAAUGUGUGAAGGGAUAGUCUAUAUUGCUUGGCUAGGAGUGCUGAACAAAGGCAUAAUUGUAAAAAUCUGAUUAGCUGCAAUGGAGAUGAUAGAGAUGCAAAUAGAGCCCUAACGGUUCAAGAAACAAACAAGUGCAAUGGAUGUGUGAAUAUGGAAACUUGUACGAACCGAUAGAUUGCUCUAUAGCACACCUACUGUUUCACAGGCCCCCAGAUGCAUCUCUAAUGCGAGCUAACAAUGCCUUCUCUCUUAGGUCUCAUAGCUCAAUGCAUGGAUGUGUUACUAGUCCGCCUGUGAUGGCUGAGAGACUAGUUUUUCAAGAAGAUACCAUUGCCAGUGCAGAUGUUGCCGACGGAUAACCAAUAAUGAAAAAUGGUUUGCAGAAACACCAUAUUUUUGAUGAAUUGACAGCAAGUCAUAAUAUAUAGUCGAACUGCAUAGAUGGCAGGUUUGAUGUCAUGUUUUGGAUAUCAUUUGUUAGAUAGCCUUUGUUGUCUAUGUUGGUGUAUAUCCUUCUUGCAUCAUUCAUCUUGAUAAUCUAUUCAUCCUUGCAUCA